Molecule: ribosomal RNA, 450 nt
Filed under: uncultured bacterium
Lineage: Bacteria
Description: partial 16S ribosomal RNA
Rfam family: Bacterial small subunit ribosomal RNA
Source: RNAcentral
GUGGGGAAUUUUGGACAAUGGGCGCAAGCCUGAUCCAGCAAUGCCGCGUGCAGGAAGAAGGCCUUCGGGUUGUAAACUGCUUUUGUACGGAACGAAACGGUCCGGGUUAAUACCCUGGGCUAAUGACGGUACCGUAAGAAUAAGCACCGGCUAACUACGUGCCAGCAGCCGCGGUAAUACGUAGGGUGCAAGCGUUAAUCGGAAUUACUGGGCGUAAAGCGUGCGCAGGCGGUUUUGUAAGACAGGCGUGAAAUCCCCGGGCUCAACCUGGGAAUUGCGCUUGUGACUGCAAGGCUGGAGUGCUGCAGAGGGGGAUGGAAUUCCGCGUGUAGCAGUGAAAUGCGUAGAUAUGCGGAGGAACACCGAUGGCGAAGGCAAUCCCCUGGGCCUGCACUGACGCUCAUGCACGAAAGCGUGGGGAGCAAACAGGAUUAGAAACCCGGGUAGUCC